Molecule: ribosomal RNA, 468 nt
Filed under: uncultured bacterium
Lineage: Bacteria
Description: partial 16S ribosomal RNA
Rfam family: Bacterial small subunit ribosomal RNA
Source: RNAcentral
GACGAACGCUGGCGGCGUGCUUAACACAUGCGAGUCGAACGGAAAGGCCCUGCUUUUGUGGGGUGCUCGAGUGGCGAACGGGUGAGUAACACGUGAGUAACCUGCCCUUGACUUUGGGAUAACUUCAGGAAACUGGGGCUAAUACCGGAUAGGAGCUCCUGCUGCAUGGUGGGGGUUGGAAAGUUUCGGCGGUUGGGGAUGGACUCGCGGCUUAUCAGCUUGUUGGUGGGGUAGUGGCUUACCAAGGCUUUGACGGGUAGCCGGCCUGAGAGGGUGACCGGCCACAUUGGGACUGAGAUACGGCCCAGACUCCUACGGGAGGCAGCAGUGGGGAAUAUUGCACAAUGGGCGGAAGCCUUAUGCAGCAACGCCGCGUGCGGGAUGACGGCCUUCGGGUUGUAAACCGCUUUCGCCUGUGACGAAGCGUGAGUGACGGUAAUGGGUAAAGAAGCACCGGCUAACUACGUG